CUCAAUAUCCUCGCGACCUCGCACAUCGAGGUAUUGAAGCUUCACUUUUAGCGCUCCUGCGGCGAGUUCCACCUCUUUUAACACUGUUGGGCGUAACAAAGUCCGAAGCGAAAGCACAGCCACAUGGGACAGUCUGGGGACAAUCUCCUUCAGAAGCUCCAGUUGUUUUCCGCUCGUUUCCGGGUGAAGCGCCGACAAUCCAGUAAUGUUCCCGCCCGGCCGCGCCAAACUGGCGACGAACUCAUUGCCAACAGGGUCAUUGUCAAACGCCAUGACAAUCGGAAUCGUAGAAGUUGCUUUCUUGGCAGCACGGGUCGAUGACGGAGCAGCCGUGACGAUGACGUCUACCUUGAGACGCACGAAUUCGGCCGCAAACUCAUUCAGGCGAUCGAAUUUUCCC
RNAcentral lists this unclassified non-coding RNA (400 nucleotides) under uncultured fungus. Its description in RNAcentral is "sequence contains ITS1". Lineage: Eukaryota; Fungi. The record is from RNAcentral.